RNAcentral lists this transfer RNA (72 nucleotides) under Bos taurus (domestic cattle). It matches the Rfam family "tRNA". From Rfam's summary of the family: Transfer RNA (tRNA) molecules are approximately 80 nucleotides in length. Their secondary structure includes four short double-helical elements and three loops (D, anti-codon, and T loops). Lineage: Eukaryota; Metazoa; Chordata; Mammalia; Artiodactyla; Bovidae. RNAcentral also lists the same sequence under 1 other name. The record is from Rfam by way of RNAcentral.
UCCUGGGUGGCUCAGAUGGUAAAGAGUCUGCCUCCAAUGCAGGAAACCUGGGUUCGAUCCCUGGGUCGGGAA